RNAcentral lists this ribosomal RNA (323 nucleotides) under uncultured Sandonidae. RNAcentral describes it as "SSU rRNA". The stretch from base 112 to 323 matches the Rfam family "Eukaryotic small subunit ribosomal RNA", at positions 744 to 955 of the family's 1831-position model. Lineage: Eukaryota; Cercozoa; Glissomonadida; Viridiraptoridae. The record is from RNAcentral. RNAcentral also lists the same sequence under 1 other name.
GAUUUCUGGCUUGAAACAUUUUGCCGGCCACGGUUUCGUGUGUUAGUGCUUGGUGUUCUGGCCAUCCUUCCAAUCGCUGUUUGUCUUUCUUCAUUGAUGGGCAAGUGGUAUUGGAUCUUUUACUUUGAAAAAAUUAGAGUGUUUCAAGCAGGCUUACUUGCUUUGAAUACAUUAGCAUGGAAUAAUAAUUUAGGGCUUCGGUUCUAUUUUGUUGGUUUCUAGGACUGAAGUAAUGAUUGAUAGGGAUAGUUGGGGGUGCUAGUAUUCAGCGGCCAGAGGUGAAAUUCUCGGAUUCGCUGAAGACUAACUUAUGCGAAAGCAUU